GACGAACGCUGGCGGCGUGCUUAACACAUGCAAGUCGAACGCUGAAGCUCAGCUUUUGUUGGGUGGAUGAGUGGCGAACGGGUGAGUAACACGUGAGUAACCUGCCCCCUUCUUUGGGAUAACGCCCGGAAACGGGUGCUAAUACUGGAUAUUCACUUGCCUUCGCAUGGGGGUUGGUGGAAAGGGUUUUUUCUGGUGGGGGAUGGGCUCGCGGCCUAUCAGCUUGUUGGUGGGGUGAUGGCCUACCAAGGCUUUGACGGGUAGCCGGCCUGAGAGGGUGACCGGUCACAUUGGGACUGAGAUACGGCCCAGACUCCUACGGGAGGCAGCAGUGGGGAAUAUUGCACAAUGGGCGAAAGCCUGAUGCAGCGACGCCGCGUGAGGGAUGGAGGCCUUCGGGUUGUAAACCUCUUUCGCUCAUGGUCAAGCCGCAGCUUUGGGUUGUGGUGAGGGUAGUGGGUAAAGAAGCGCCGGCUAACUACGUGCCAGCAGCCGCGGUAAUACGUAGGGCGCGAGCGUUGUCCGGAAUUAUUGGGCGUAAAGGGCUUGUAGCGGUUGGUCGCGUCUGCCGUGAAAUCCUCUGGCUUAACUGGGGGCUUGCGGGGGGUACGGGCUGACUUGAGUGCGGAAGGGGAGACUGGAAUCCUGGUGUAGCGGUGAAUCCCCUACUCAGGAAGAACUCCGUGUGCUAACCUGUUUCUGAGGCCUUCUUGAGGUGAUGACAGAAGCGGGGGAAC
RNAcentral lists this ribosomal RNA (737 nucleotides) under uncultured Actinomyces sp. RNAcentral's name for it is "bacterial SSU rRNA". It matches the Rfam family "Bacterial small subunit ribosomal RNA", at positions 28 to 768 of the family's 1533-position model. Lineage: Bacteria; Bacillati; Actinomycetota; Actinomycetes; Actinomycetales; Actinomycetaceae. The record is from RNAcentral.